This 403-nucleotide ribosomal RNA is filed under the name Segatella copri. RNAcentral describes it as "bacterial SSU rRNA". It matches the Rfam family "Bacterial small subunit ribosomal RNA", at positions 1128 to 1533 of the family's 1533-position model. Lineage: Bacteria; Pseudomonadati; Bacteroidota; Bacteroidia; Bacteroidales; Prevotellaceae. The record is from RNAcentral.
AAGCUGGGCACUCUGGGGACACUGCCACCGUAAGGUGUGAGGAAGGUGGGGAUGACGUCAAAUCAGCACGGCCCUUACGUCCGGGGCUACACACGUGUUACAAUGGCAGGUACAGAGAGAUGGUGUUCUGCAAAGCGCAUCUAAUCCUUAAAGCCUGUCUCAGUUCGGACUGGGGUCUGCAACCCGACCCCACGAAGCUGGAUUCGCUAGUAAUCGCGCAUCAGCCAUGGCGCGGUGAAUACGUUCCCGGGCCUUGUACACACCGCCCGUCAAGCCAUGAAAGCCGGGGGCGCCUAAAGUCCGUGACCGUAAGGAGCGGCCUAGGGCGAAACUGGUAAUUGGGGCUAAGUCGUAACAAGGUAGCCGUACCGGAAGGUGCGGCUGGAACACCUCCUUUCUGGAG